Molecule: ribosomal RNA, 328 nt
Filed under: uncultured Chlorobiota bacterium
Lineage: Bacteria; Pseudomonadati; Chlorobiota
Description: bacterial SSU rRNA
Rfam family: Bacterial small subunit ribosomal RNA
Source: RNAcentral
GACGAACGCUGGCGGCGUGCCUAACACAUGCAAGUCUUGGGAGAAAGAGGUAGCAAUAUCUUGAGUAAACCGGCGCAAGGGUGAGUAACACGUAGGUAACCUGCCCAGAAGACGGGAAUAACUUCGAGAAAUCGAGGCUAAUGCCCGAUGAUAUUCCGAUGCGACAUCGCAUUGGAAUCAAAAGCCGAAAGGUGCUUUUGGAUGGGCCUGCGUCCCAUUAGGUAGUUGGUGAGGUAACGGCUCACCAAGCCCACGAUGGGUAGCUGGUCUGAGAGGACGAUCAGCCACACUGGAACUGAGACACGGUCCAGACUCCUACGGGAGGCAG